UAGCAUGAAAACCUCAGACCGAAGUACC
RNAcentral lists this small RNA (28 nucleotides) under Bombyx mori (domestic silkworm). Its description in RNAcentral is "ovarian small RNA-6343". The record is from RNAcentral. Lineage: Eukaryota; Metazoa; Arthropoda; Insecta; Lepidoptera; Bombycidae.